This 463-nucleotide ribosomal RNA is filed under the name uncultured bacterium. Its description in RNAcentral is "partial 16S ribosomal RNA". It matches the Rfam family "Bacterial small subunit ribosomal RNA", at positions 28 to 507 of the family's 1533-position model. The record is from RNAcentral.
GAUGAACGCUGACAGAAUGCUUAACACAUGCAAGUCUUUGGCGAAGCUGUGCUUGCACAGCCUAGCCAAGGCGGACGGGUGAGUAACGCGUAAGGAACUUGCCCUGCAGUCAGGGAUAACAGACGGAAACGACUGAUAAGACCUGGUAAAGUCAGGCGGACUCAUGUCCAGCCUGAUGAAAAGUGAUGCUGCAGGAGAGCCUUGCGUCCUAUUAGCUUGUUGGUGGGGUAACGGCCCACCAAGGCGAUGAUAGGUAGCCGGCCUGAGAGGGUGGACGGCCACAAGGGGACUGAGAUACGGCCCUUACUCCUACGGGAGGCAGCAGUGGGGAAUAUUGGACAAUGGGGGCAACCCUGAUCCAGCAAUUCUGUGUGCACGAUGAAGGUUUUCGGAUUGUAAAGUGCUUUCAACAGGGAAGAAAAAAAUGACGGUACCUGCAGAAGAAGCGACGGCUAAAUACGUG